UGGGGAAUAUUGGACAAUGGGCGCAAGCCCGAUCCAGCCAUGCCGCGUGAGUGAAGAAGGCCUUCGGGUUGUAAAGCUCUUUUGGCGGGGACGAUAAUGACGGUACCCGCAGAAUAAGCUCCGGCUAACUUCGUACCAGCAGCCGCGGUAAUACGAAGGGAGCUAGCGUUGUUCGGAAUCACUGGGCGUAAAGCGCACGUAGGCGGAUUUGUUAGUCGAGGGUGAAAUCCUGAGGCUCAACCUCAGAACUGCCUUCGAUACUGCAAGUCUUGAGUCCGGGAGAGGUGAGUGGAAUUCCUAGUGUAGAGGUGAAAUUCGUAGAUAUUAGGAAGAACACCAGUGGCGAAGGCGGCUCACUGGCCCGGUACUGACGCUGAGGUGCGAAAGCGUGGGGAGCAAACAGGAUUAGAUACCCGCGUAGUCCCUGAGCGGGCUGGCAAGGCGCAU
This 447-nucleotide ribosomal RNA is filed under the name uncultured bacterium. Its description in RNAcentral is "bacterial SSU rRNA". It matches the Rfam family "Bacterial small subunit ribosomal RNA", at positions 355 to 825 of the family's 1533-position model. The record is from RNAcentral.